UGAAUUACUAAAAGAGUAUAUUAUAUUUUUUCAAUCAUGGAAAACUGAAUUUUGGACUAGCUUGUAGCUGUGUCAUUUUAUGUUCCUGAAUUUUGCCAUUCUGGUUGUUUAUCGUUGGUAUUGAGGAGCUGGAAAAGGUAGAGAAUUAUUUUUAGUCACAUGAAUAUAUGAGUACCUAACACCUGAAUCUUACAUAUGAUCAUUACGAAUGUUUAUAACCAUUUAAAAGUUUUGGAUAAGAUAUUACCCUCUUCCUUUUCCUGAUCAAAGAUUUAGUCACAUGAAAAAAAUGAAGUCCCUAGUACAAUAUUAACUAGAAUAACGGAGAAAAGUAUAGGAAAAGUGGUUAUGCUUGCUAUGUCAUGUGCUGUAAACUUGAUGAAUUGGGUUUAUCUUGAAUGUGAGGGAAAAGAAGAAUUUAUAAUUUCCUAAAUUUUUUUAAUUAAAAAAUAUAUAAAAAUCUUUGAAAUUUUCUUUGUGUCACAUGUCAACUUCUCUGCCGCAUAGUGGAUUAUCUAAACUCAAACUUAAUAUUCACUUUUGUGUACAUGUGUGCAGAUUACAUACAGUGUACCAUUUGCUCUGGCAUCUAUAUUCUCCAGCACUUCAGGAGCAGGCCAAGGUAAAUUAUCAUAUAGUCCAUUUAAAUAAACAAAUUGUAUCAAAUGUGUCUCCAUUCAUCUAUUAAAUCAUACCCACAAUUAACCAAAUUACAAUAUGUAACAUUCCUCUCUUCUUUCAAAAAUUUCAGGUUUAUCAUUGGGAACUCUCAAUCUUGCAAUUGUAAUUCCACAGGUUAGAAACCAUUUAAAGAUUAACAUAUAUAAAAAAUAUUAAAAUAAUUUAUUUUCAGUAUUUGAAUGUUUGUGUAUUUAUGUGUAUACAGAUGAUUGUAUCAGCAAUAAGUGGACCGCUCGACGGUGCAUUUGGCGGUGGCAACUUGCCGGCGUUUGUGAUGGGCUCCAUAUUUGCGGCCGUGAGUGGUGUAUUGUCAAUUGUAUUGUUGCCAACACCUCAGCCACAGGAAUUGGCCAAGGCUGCAACAGUUGGUGGUUUUCACUAGUUUAUGGAACUUUUCUUGUUUUUUGUUUGUUUGCUUUUGUGUGGAAAACAAACGAAAGGUAGAGAGAUGAAGCUGCAUAUAUGUAGUAGUUGUGUGUACUUAUGCCUAAUGAGUAAUAAAAGUAUUUAACUCAUUUUAGUUUUUAAAUUUCAUGUGUGCUGUACAAAACCAUGUGCUAUUUAUCAUCUUGGGUUCAGCUACAACAAAAAUAAAUAAUUAUAAUUAUCUACACUACUAUCUAAAGAUAAAAAAAUGUCAAAAAGGUAUUUAAGUAUUUGAAAUAUUUCAUUAUCCAAUUUAUCCUUAUUAUUAUGUAUAAGUGCAAAAUGUACUUCAAUAAUAUUGAGAUGAUUGAAAAUGUAUAAUUUCAUUUAUAUACUUAAAUGGUGAUAAUUAAACAUGUUAUGAAACACAUACAUUAUUUUGGGUUAUACAAUUCACUUUUGAAGAAUGGUGGUAAUAGAAGAUGUUUAUGAAAAUUUCCGUCGUUUAAUUUUCAUGUUCCCCUCGUACGCGUAACUAUUAUUGCAAUAAUUUUCAUGUUCCCCUCGUCGUUUAAUUUUCAUGUUCCCCUCGUUUAAUUGAGUGUAUGAUUAAUUUAGGUUGUUUCUAAAAUAAAGAACUAAUAUUCUUUCCAACACUCAAAAACUAAAAAAGUUAUAUUUUUAUUAUGCCUUAAUCUAACUUGUUCAAAUCACGAAUAUCAAACUUUUAAAGAAGUAUCAAAACACAUUCAAAUUAAAAAUUUCAAACGCAUAAUAACACUAAUAAUAUUAAUCAGAAAUCUUAUGGGAGAAUGCCUCUUUCUAUCUUAUGUACAAAACAAUUUCUCUUACGACCAGUCACCAGUAUCCAAUCAUUUAUUUCUUAUUAAAUUUUAGAAUAAUUACAAUUGUAAUAUGAAAGUGUUAUAAAAUUAUACUUAUGGAUUGGACCUUAAAAUCUAACCCAUCGUCAAAAAAAUACUCCCAUUUGAAUCGCUCAUACAUCAUAACAUGUGAAAACCAACCAAUUAUGGUGAAAAUCGUCGAACUAGACGAUUUAGUACGCAAUUUUUUAUAAAAAAAUCCACAGAGGAACCUCAUUGUUCUAUAAAAAUUAAAGGAAUAGAAAAUAGAAGUGAAUAGCUCUUAUUCUCUUUUUAUUAGUUCUUAGAUAUUUAGUUGGUUUGAGAAUUAAGUGCAACACUAAUGAGCUUUCAUGGUUAUAAUCUCUCCUGUUGCAAAGGUUUUGAUUUAGGAUUAAUGUCGUGAAGCAUCGAGGAUGAAAGAAGACUAUCUAGACAUCACAAAAAAGUGACAAACUCUUCACAAAUGCUUCUAGAGGCACAGUAAAAUAGCCCCCACAUAGAAGAAUCGCAAGGCAUGACAAUCAAUAUUGUGAGAUCUUUAUCAACGUGGUAAGUGAAAAAAACAUAUAAGUAAACAUCAAAUUUGUACCCAAGUGCUAGUUGUGAGGCUCACGAGUCCUGUAUGUUGCAUUUUCAGCUACUUUUAGGGUAUCUUUCUAAAAAAAACACAUGCGUAGCCAUAGGAAAAUAUUUAGAAAGAAUAGAAAUCAGAAAUGCCUAGAGAGAUAGGUGAGAAGACAUUAAUUAAGGAGGGAUUCCACACAUCAAAGGAAGGAAUUGUAGAGAGGAAGAUUACCCUUUACAUACAUAUCUAUGUCUCUCAUCUAGUUUACUCUUCUCUUGUCGAUAUAUAUUUUGUUUUUUAUGUCUAGCUAAUCAUCUUCUAGGGAUUUGAUGGAAUUGGUUAAUAUUAUGUGAUUUGCAAUUAAUUAUGAAUGGGUUCUUCUUGUUAUGUUAAUUAUUUGAUUACGUUAUUCAUAGAAGUAGCUAGCUAAUCUAUGAUUUAGGAAUUUAAUUCUUCAAUUGGGAAAUUUGGGAUUGCAUUACUCUCUUUAAUUGAAUCAUCAAUUGUAGUUGGUCAAAAAAAGUUUAAUAAUUAAAUUUUUAACUUUGAUAUAUUUUCUUCACUCAAUCAUAAUUUAUAGUAUAUAGAGUGGUACAAAUUAUGAGACAACAUAUGUGCUCAAUUUAUAAGAAACUUUUGUGUUAGUGUAUAGAAUGUGUGAUUCCAUUGUUCUUAUUGUAGCAAUUGUAAAAUUAUGAAGGUUUGCUAAAUUUGGAAUGUAAAAUAAUUGCCUCAAAGAAUUGAUGGUAUUUUCCUGAAUUGUUGUUAACACAUGAAGAGUUCUAUGCAUACUCCUUCUUAUUGUUAUCUCCAAGGAAACCAUUGUUAUUAAAACCAUACUUGUUAUUAAACCGGUCAGAGUAAUGAUAUAAUGAGUUUAAUCGGUGGUUUAGAAAUUAAAUUACAUUUCGGUUAAACCAGACAUAUCAGCUUAUAUUUAUUUAUAUAUAUAAACUUAUAAAAAAAAUUCAAAUAUGUAGAUACUCAAAUUUAUAAUCCAUAUUCAUUAUCUACUCAAAAUUCACAUAAACAAAUAAUUUUAAGUCUUUAACAAAUUCAAAGUCUAAAUUUCAAAACAUAUAUCAAUCCAAAAGUAUCAGUUAACAAACACAAAAUAUAAAUAAGUGAUACAAGUUCAUAACUUAUCCUACAAAACAAAUAAAUUUGGAGUUUUAACAUUUAAACCAAUGAGUCAAAGUUGUCUCAUAUCGAGACUCCAUUUUUGCACCAAAUCUUAUCUUCAGACAGUUGACUCCAAUAUUACAUAAAUGUCACUGAGAUUGCACACCAAUGUUGGGAACCAAAAGAUGUAAUCUACGUAUGCUUUGGAAGCAUGUCCAAAGUGUUGAAGAAUGGUUGGAAAGAUGGGUCACCAUGUAAUGAGUUUUUAAAUUUUUAAGUUUUAAAAAAAAAUGUAUAAACCAGUCUGUUUAGUCAAAUUCCGGCCGGUUCACCGAUUUUGACCAGUUGACAACUGAUUUUGAUUGGUUUUGAUACAGGGUCGGUUCAACAUCCGUACCAUAUCGGUUAGGGGUCCGAUUCGCCAGUUUUUCGGUCGAACCGACCGGCACGGUACAGUACGGUUUUUAUAUCACUGAAGGAAACCAUGUCCCAAGCCUUUCUACCCUUAUUACUGUUGCAGAAAAAAGACAGAAUGUGCAUAUAUUGGAACUAUGUUGCUGAGAAAGAAAGAAAUAGAAUUAGUGUAGGAUGAGAGAAAGAGAAGUAGCCUUUAGUGUGUAAGAGAUGAGAGAGUAAAGUGAUAGAGAUUCUGGAAAGUAAAACAAGUGUAUAUACAUCAAAAGCAUUUACAAGCUAUAUAUAGCAAUGUGCCAACUACUUUCCAAAAAUAGUAAAACUACCAACAAACUAAACUAACCAAACUUUCUAUAUCUAGAAACUAUCUAUAUUUAUCAAAACUGAAUUACAUUUAACACUUCCCCUUAAUUCAGAUUUGCUUUCAAACACNNNNNNNNNNNNNNNNNNNNNNNNNNNNNNNNNNNNNNNNNNNNNNNNNNNNNNNNNNNNNNNNNNNNNNNNNNNNNNNNNNNNNNNNNNNNNNNNNNNNAAGCUUAAGUUGAUCCUUGCUAACUUGAUCUCUAAGAAAAUGAAACCUUGUCUCUAUAUGCUUGCUUCUCCCAUGUGCAAUAGAAUUCUUAUAAGCAUGCAUUCCCCUUCUUUUUUCAACUUCAAUUCAGUGAGAAGUUUCCCUAGCCAAGAAGCUUGUUGAACAGCAGUACAAGCAGAGAUAUAUUCUUCUUCACAAGAUGAGAGUGCCACAACAUCUUAUUUCUUUGAAGACCAAGAGAUUGGUCCCUCACCAAGAAAAAACAUGUAGCCACUUGUGCUUUUUCUGUCACAUUUAUCCCCACACCAAUCUGCAUAACUGAAUCCAAGCAUUCUGUGAUUUUUGUCACUGUUUUUGAUAGGAAGUAUCAAGCCAAACUCCAAUGUCCCCUUCACAUAUCUGAGUAUUCUUUUAGCUUGCAUCAGAUUGGAUUUCUUUGGUGACUCCAUGUGUCUACUUAUCACACCUACACCAUAUGCAAUAUCUGGCCUUGUGUUGCAGAUGUAUCUUAGGCAACCAACUAUCUGCCUAUAGAGAGUGUUAUCAACUGCAAAAUCUUGUUCUAGUUUCUCACAACCUGCAUCAGCUUCAAUAGGUGUAGAGACUGCAUUGCAUCCUUCCAUAUUGAACCUCUUCAAUACAUCAUUGAUGUACUUCUCUUGGUGCAUUAGGAUUCCCUCUUUGACUCUUGAGAAUUCUAUCCCAAGGAAAUAGGAUAACUCUCCCAAGUCACUCAUUUCAAACUCAGCCUUCAUUUCUGCUUUGAACUCACAAAUUUCCUCGAAUUUCCUCAAGCUUAGUUCCAGUUACGAGUAAGUCAUCCACAUAGAGACAAAUUACUAGAAGAUUCUGAACAGUUGAGCCUUUCACAUAUACACCAUACUCUGAUAUGCAUUUCAGAAAGCCAAGCUUCAAUAGGAAUCCAUCUAUGCUUUUGUUCCCAGCCCUUGGAGCCUGCUUGAGACUAUAAAGGGUUUUAUGCAGUUUAUAUACUUGAUGCUCUUUGCCAAUUACUUCAAAACCAGGUGGUUGUUUGACAAAUACCACCUCAUCUAAUGGUCCAUUUAAGAAUGCAGACUUAACAUCCAUUUGGUGUAUGUGCCAAUUGUGAUAGCUUGCCAAGGAAACUACUAAUCUAAUUGUUUCCAACCUUGCAACAGGUGCAAAGACUUCACUAUAGUCAAGUCCUUCCUGGAAACCUUUUGCAACUAGUCUUGCUUUUUGCUUCACAAUUUCACCCUUUGGAUUCACCUUGAUCUUGUAUACCCAUCUAACAUCAAUAACUUUCUUAUUUUCUGGUAGAUUAGUUAGAUACCAAGUGCGAUUCCUUUCAAUAUAGUUGAGUUCUUCUCUCAUAGCUUGCAUCCACUAACUUGAUUUCACUGCCUCAUGAAAACUUAUUGGUUCCAUUUCAGCUAAGAAAGCCAUGUGCACCAAUUUUCCUUCUGCAGUGAUGCCUGAGUCAGAGAAGAUCUCAUAGUCAUUCAACCUUGUUGGUGGUUGUCUUGAUCUAUGGGAUCUUCUUUCUAGUUGAGCAUCUAUAUCUGCUAUAGCUGGUUGUUGUUGGACUUGAUCAUCUAUAUGCAUUGUAGCACUUCUUUCUUGAACACUAUUCUGUCCAGUCCAAUCCCAACAUUGAGUCUCAUCAAUCUUUACAUCUCUGCUCACAACAAUUUUCUGAAUCAAGGGAUUAAACAACCUAUAAGCACCUGUGUUGUGAUAGCCAAGAAGAAUCAAUUUCUCACCCUUGUCAUCAAGCUUUCUUCUCUGCACAUCAGGUAUAUGUUUGUAACAAACAAAACCAAAAAUUCUGAGAUGACUUAUAUUGGUUUCUUGCCUGACCAAGCUUCCUCAUGGGUGAUUUUCUCAAGUCUACUAGAUAGACAUCUAUUCAAGAUGUAUGCAGAGGUUGAGACUGCUUCUCCCCAAAAUUUCUUUGGCAACUUCUUUGUUUUCAACAUACUCCUAGCCAUGUUUAGGACUGUCCUAUUCAUCCUUUCUGUAGUUCCAUUAGGCUCUAGAGUAUAGGGUGCUAUGACUUCAUGAAUUACUCCUUCCUUGUCACAGAAGUCUCUCCAUUCAGUUGAGGUGUAUUCUCCACCACCAUCAGUUCUGAGUGCUUGCAGUUUCAAUUCCUUCUGCCUUUCUACCUGAGCCUUAAAUCUGAGAAAGGUAAGAAACACAUCACUCUUCUUUCUAAUGAGAUGUAUCCAUACCUUCCUUGUGUAAUCAUCUAUGAAGGUCACAAAAUACUUGUUUUCCCUCAAUGAUUCUUCCUCAAAUGGCCCACACACAUCUGAGUAAACCAGUUCCAAAGGUCUAGAUGAUCUAGUAGGUAUGUGUGCACCAAAAGCGUUCCUUGUCUGCUUGCUUGUGAGACACUCAUCACAUAGUUCACUAGGGAUAGCAAUAGAGGGCAGACCAGAAACAAUACCAACUCUGCUCAGAAGUUCAAGACCUUUGAAGUUCAGAUGGCCAUACAUUUGAUGUCACACUCAAUUUUCUUGCAUAACAUUGGUCAGAAGGCAAUUGUGAUUGUUGAUUUGAAUGUCAAUUUUGAAGGUUCUGUUAUUGGAUAGGGGAGCCUUCAAGAGCAGACUCUUUUUGACAUCAAACACUCUUAGCACCUAAUUCUCCAUUGUCAUUGUGUACCCCUUUUCAAGUAACUGACCAAGGCUAAGCAAGUUACUUUUCAUUUUGGGCACAUACAACACAUUGUUGAUGCAAGAAGACUUGCCAUCAUUCCUUUGUAUAGAGAUAUCACCAAUUCCUUCAGCACCAAUGACACUAUGGUCUGCGUUUUAGCAGAUUCAUCAAGCUUCACAAACCAUUAUUUGUGUCCAGUCAUAUGAUUUGAACAACCAGUGUCAAGGUACCAAUAAUCACUCUUGACACUCUCUUUUUCUGUUGUAACCAUAAGAAGAACUUGUUCAUCCUCUGAUUCUCCUCCAUGAGCCAUACUAGCUUCAACUUCUGAUCCACUAGAUUGCUUGAACCUGCACUCAGAGGCAUAGUGUCCAAGGUUCUUGUAAUUGUAACAUUGGAUCUUAUUUUUAUCAAUCUUUUUCUUAUUCUUUCUGAAUGACUGAUCCUGGUGAAGCUGUUUCUGUGCAGAGACCUCAUUUCUUCCUCUAUCAUUCUUCCAAUUUCCUCUGGAUUUUUUGUGAAAGUUUCCUUGCCCAGAGUUCCUUCUGUUGAAUUGUGCUUGAAGGGCCUGGUUAGGAUUUCUUUCUUGGUCCAUUUCCUUUAUUCUCUGCUCCAACCACCAACUGAUCCUUCAUUACUUCUAUGGAAUCCCCUUCCUUCAUUUGCAGAAGCUCAUACUCUCUUCUCAAGGUCUGCAAUUUGACCUUCUUCACUUUCUCAGCUCCAGCAUAACUCUUUUCAAGAUUGUCCCAAGCCUCUUUUGCUAUUUUGGCAUUGGCAAUCUUCUCAAAGUUUGCUCCAUCCACACAUUGGUGGAUUAUGAACAAAGCUUUGCAAUCCUUCUUCUUGCAUUCUCUGAGUGUUGAUCUCUGUGUCUCAGUUGCAUCCUCCCCAAUGAAUUGGUACCCAUCUUGCACAAUUUCGAGCACUUCUUGGUACCCCAACGGAACUCUCAUUUGAACACUCCAUCGUUCAUAGUUCUUUCCAUCUAGGAUAGGUAGUGUCAUGGUGAAACCACUAUUGGUCGCCAUUUUUAACUUUCUUGCCACAGACCCAAGAUCAAGAUAAACACAGCUAUGAUACCACUGUUGCAGAAAGAAGACAGAAUGUGCAUAUAUUGCAACUAUGUUGCAGAGAAAGAAAGAAAUGGAACUAGUGUAGGAUGAGAGAAAGAGAAGUAGCAUUUAGUGUGUAAGAGAGGAGAGAGUAAAGUGAUAGAGAUUCUGGAAAGUAAAACAAGUGUAUAUACAUCAAAAGCAUUUACAAGCUAUAUAUAGCAAUGUGCCAACUACUUUCCAAAAAUAGUAAAACUACCAAAAACUAAACUAACCAAACUUUCUAUAUCUAGAAACUAUCUAUAUUUAUUAAAAUUGAAUUACAUUUAACAAUUACAACCAUUGUUUCUAAUCAAUUGCUAUACGUUCAAAAUCAACAAAUCUUUAAUGUAAUUUAAAAAAAAUUAAUCACCAUAAGCUGUUUUCUUUUCGAAUUGAUUAUAAUUUUUUGUAGUGGAUUAUAAUUAAUUUUUGAUUGUUUGUAAUUAACAAAGUUAUCUGUAAUAACUGUUGUCAGUAUUUACUACAUUAUUUUGACUAGUUUUCAUGAAAUGUGACCAGGCUUAAAGCCUUAAAAGACAUUAUGUAAGAAGCUAAACAAGUUGAAACAAAAGCAGUGCUUCUGAAAAUUUAUCAGAGCCAAACAACAUCCUUGAAUUUAGUGAACAAAAUUUCUAUUAUGCAUACUAGCGUGUGCCUGUCAACCCGCUUUUCUAUUGUUUGUAAUGUGUAUUCUACAUAUUAAGUUGUAUUAUAUAUUGUAAUUUGCAGUUGAAUAUAUAUUCGUUUGAGGUAAUUGUUCAAUCUUAAAGAAAUGAUACAUAUACAAUUCUGUUCAUCAAGAAUAAAGUCUUGAUAUCUUCACUUAAUUUUAUUUUCUAGCGUGUUAACAGACACUACCGGGUCUGUCAACCCAAUUUCCUAUCGUUUGUAUUGUGUAUUCUACAUAUAAAAGUGAUUUUUAUCUAAUUAAUUAAAAUCUAUUGAGUAAAUCUAUUGCAUGGUCACAAUGUAUAUCCAUUAAAUUAAAAAAUAGGAAUGCAUGAAAUAUAUUGCAUUGGUCACAAUGUAUGCCAUUGAGUAAAGAGUAUGCGAAUAUUUGACAUUUAAAACAUCCAGAUUACACAUUACAAACAAUAUGAAAGCGGGUUGACAGACACCGUAGUACCUGUCAACACGCUAGAAAAUAAAAUUAAGUGAAGAUAUCAAGACUCUAUUCUUGAUGAACACAAUUGUACAUGCAUCAUUUCUUUAAGAUUGAACAAUUACCUCAAACGAAUAUAUAUUCAACUGCACAUUACAAUAUAUAAUACAACUUAAUAUGUAGAAUAUACAUUACAAACAAUAGGAAAGCGGGUUGACAGACACGGUAGUGGCUGUCAACACGCUAGUAAAGAUAAAAAUAGAAGUUAUAAAAUGAAAUUAGAAGUUAUAAAAUAAAAUCAGGAGUUAUAAAAUAUGAAAUAAAUGUUUAUUGGUAUAAGUAUAUAUAAAUAUGAAAUUAGAAGUUAUAAAAUAAGAAUAGAAAGUUAUAAAAUAAGAAAUAAAUGUUUAUUAAUAUAAGAAUAUAUAAAGAUGAAAUUAGAAGUUAUAAAAUAUGAAAUAGGAAAACCCAAAAUAACUUCAUGAAAGUUAGGUUAGGUUUUUCCUUUAUUAAGUAAUAUAGAUAUGCAACUUAUAGUUAAUAUAUUUGAGGUGGUUAUAUAUGAUUAUAUGAUUUUUUUAAAUUAAAUUUUUGAAGGGCAAAAUAGGAAUAUAUAAAUUAUAUCAUGGUGGUGAUUACACCAUGUUUUGGCUUUAUAUAUAGUAUAGAUACAUAUAGAAUUCUGGCACGAGUACUUCAAAAAUCAAAUCUAGCAAGUUGUGUAAAGUGGAGACAACAUAGGAUAGAGAAAGACUCUAAGGAAUCAACAAUAGUUACAUUAUUUUCUUAUUUACCCAAAGUAUCAUUUAUCAAAUUCAUCAUACCACGUAUCAGAUAACUAUGGAAUUGACAUUCCGUUGUUCAGAUCCUAGUGCCCACUCGACCAGAAACUUCACUCUAACAACUUAUGACCCCAAGGCAGAACCAAAAAGCCUUUAGACUCUGGUAUCUAACUUGACUAUCUAAUAAGUACAUAGGAAUUCAAGGACUAAGUUCACAAUAAUUGAUUUUAAAGACUACUUUACUAAUGUAGUUUACAGUAACUGGAUUUAAAAUUGAUGGCUUAAUGUCCUCUUCAUAUAAGAGAACAGAUACAGCAUUAUAAGAAACAUGAAUGAUAACUAAUUCAUGCAGUUUAUAAGUUACAUGAGUAAUUUUUUUAUGGACUAGAGUUCUGCAAAACUAUUUAUAGAUGCCCCAAUGCAAGAAAAAUGGCAAGUACAUGAUUAAUUGGAUUCAUGGUUUUAGCAAUUCAUGUCCAUGAUUAAAUGGUUCUUCAAAACUGCAGGAAACAUAACAAACAGGAAUGCACAACUUACAUAAUUGGAAAAUGCAAAAAAUAUAGGAUGAUAUUAAGUUGAGAAACUAACACUAUUACUAACAGAUUCACAAGCAAAACAGGGUCUUAGCACACCUCUCACAAAAACCACAGGGACAAAUUAUAAGCAAAUAUAACAUUAUUACAUUAUUAUAUAAAGAGUAAAUUACACUGACACCCAUGAGUUUUAGUGAAAUUACACAAACCACCCCUCACUUUUCUACACCUACACAAACCUCCCCUAUUUUUUAACUUUCAUUACACUGACCACCCCUACAUAAGAAGUAAGUGUAAUCUUUUAAACAACAAAAAAUGUGAUAAAAAUGCAAAUAAGCUAAACAAAAUAUGAUAUAUUGUGGAGACACGUCCAAAUAAUAUAUGACGUCAAUAUUUCUUUAUUAUUUUUGAUUCGUUAUACUAUAUUAUAAGAGCGAUUUAAAUAAUAUUUCUUUAGAAUUGUUGAUGCAUUUUGUAACAAAAAAUAAUAAAGAUAUAUUGAUUUGUAUAUUAUUUAGACUUCUCUACACAAUAUAUCAUGUUUUGUUUAACUUAAUUGUAUUUAUCACAUUUUUUGUUUAAAAUAUUACACUUUUUUCUUAUACAGGGGUGGUCAAUGUAAUGAAAGUUAAAAAAUAGGGGAGGUUUGCGUAGGUGUAGAAAAGUGAGGGGUGACUUGUGUAAUUUCACUAAAACCCAGGGGUGUCAAUGUAAUUUACUCUUAUAUAAAGAAUAAUUAAAUAACGAAGUCAAAUCAAAUCCUUCUAGGCUUUACCAAAAAAAUAUCCUUCUAGGCUUUACCAAAAAAAUAUCCUUCUAGGCUCAAUAUGCUGAUUAAUUGCCAACAAAAAUGGGCAACAACAAAAUGAUUUCACGAGUUUUAUAGAAAUAUAAGAUGUUUGUGAUGAUGAAGGGACUUAAGGUGCAAUUUUCCUAGAUCAGCUUGAAGUUUAAAAUAAUGGGAAUGGAUAGAACUAGAAGUCACGUAAAGUGAAAGAUUACAAUAGAUAGAAAAGAAAAGAUGCUAAAUAUUUUUGAAAUGAAUCAUGCAAUUAUGAAAGUAAUGUUAAGUAAGGUAUUAAAGCAACCAACCAGCUAAUAUAUGAGAGGUCCAAACAAACAACAUCAGGAUAAAUUAUAACGCUUAAGGGUUGUCACAGCUGUCUGUUUGCUGCAAUAAAAUAUUGAAGACAUUGAUGAUGAGAAUGUAAAAAAUAAAAAUUGUAAACUGAAUGAACCUUAAAAUUUAGAUUAAAAGAAGAAAUAAUGAGCUUCUUCUAUUUGGCACAAUUGUCAUGUUGUUUAGGAUGAAUUAGCGCAAUGAUAAGAUUAUUGCGUAUUGUUUAGUGAUCACGAGGUCAGGAUUUCAAAUCCUGAAAAUAGUUUUUUUAUUUGUGGGAUAAGGUUGAAUAUAUCUACCAUCUCCAGAUUCUAAUAAGUGAGAGGCUCCUGUAGUGAAAGACUAAAUACAAGAGACAAAUUAAAAAAAAACAAAAAAGAAAAAUAAGAGUUAGUAAAAAUCCCAAAUGCAAUUAACUCAAGAAUAACACUGAAUGGGUAAAUGCAUACCUCAGGUGUAGUUAGAGGUAUCAAAACGGACUAACGGACGAGUUCAGGCUAAAUCGGGUCGAGCUAAAAAACUCAGAUACAAUUUAUGCAUAUCAAAUUGUAGCCCAAACCUGCCCUAAGCGGGUUGCAGGUUGUGGCGGGCCGACCCACAUAAUAUUAAAAAAAUCAUUUAAAUUUUAACUUAUUUAAUCUACUUAAUAUAUAUAUAUAUAUAUAUAUAUAUAUAUAUAUAAUUUGAUAUUAAUGUAUAAUUUUUUUAACACACUUCCUAUGUCUAAUACAACCAAACUUAUAGAACUAAUAUGUAUUGUUUUGAGUUAAGACAUGAAGUCCACAUAUAUAAUUUUUAACAUAACUUAUUUAUUAAAUAUCUCAUUUUUAUUGGACUCUCACUCUAUAACACAAUAUAAUUUGGAAUUCAGUAUAAUAUAAAAAGUUUUAGACACUACCAAAAAUAUUAUCCUUUGUAUAUUCUUUAUCAACACUUUUAUUAUGAACUAUUAUAUAAAAUUUGGUUGUGUGGAGCUAUCUAUGGGAAAAAAUUAUGUUGUCUUUUAAUUUUAUUGCAAAAGUUAUUUUCUUUAUUAUAUUUUUUUUGUAGAAAUUAAAUCUAGUUAGGUACACAAUUAAGAAAGGAAAAGUGAAAUCUAUAUGGUUUAAUGUCUUCUAAUUUGAUUUGAUACAUUAUUUUUUAUUGGGCUUAAAAUGAUAUUAUGAAAAAUUGGAAAAAUAAUAUAAUGUUUAACUUUAUAACAUUAUUGUAAUUUAUAAAUAUUUAUGGUAAACACAUUACUCUAUUUUUAAUUCAAAGUUCAUAACAUAAUAUUUAUUAUAUAUUUUUUAUUAUAAGUUGUUUGGUAAAACAAUUUUUACCUAAGGCUUAUUACCAAACCAAAGAUUCCAAAAAAGAUUAAAAAAAUAAGGAAAAACGGGUAGCUCAAGCCCGCCCAGGUAAGCCCGGCUCGAACCCGGUUUUCAUAUAGCCCGGAUGCAAUAAAAAGUGUCUAAAAUGAUACCCAAACCCUAUAAAUUCCGAGCUUUGGCGGGUCAGCCCAACCGAGCUCGUCCGUUUUGACACCUCUAGUUGUAGUGAUCAAUUAACUUAAAAAUAAUUAAUUAUUUGUCUUUUAUAUUACUUUCCAGAAAUAGUAGUUAGUUAGCUUGUCGAUUUGAUAGUUUUAACUAACUUACUAUAUAAGGCAAAGUAUUAUGUAAUUGAUGUGUAGAAUCAUUAAUCAAUUUCUCACUUUACAAUUUACAAAGUUCUCUCAAAUUCUCUCUUUCUCUCUUUCUCUCUUUCAUUUAUGUUCCAAAAUCGUUAUCAACUUCUUCUCCAUUCUUCACCUUCAUUUCUUCAACAAUGGUGAGUAGAGACUUUCACAUGGUAUCAAAGUUUUUUCAUUGAAGAGGCUCUGCUACAAAUCUGAUGCGCUGUGAUUUCUUAUUCUACUUGGUGAAGUUUUGAUUUUUUAUCCUCUUCCUCUUCCUCUUUCUUAAGAAUUUGCGAUUAUGCAAUUCUAGGUUUUGUGAUUUUAUAAUUCAAGUUUCUGUGAUUCUGUUGAAGUUGAUUUUGUUCAAGCCGUGAUUUUAAUUGAAAUUGACCUAAAAUUAAAGAAAUGGAAAAUUGUGUUAUAAAUGUAAUGAAUCUGAUUCAGGAUCCUAUUUAUCCUUUCUUCCUUCAUCCUAACGAAAAUCUUGGAGUUGUCUUGGUUUCGAAUAUGUUGAAUGGAAAUAAUUAUCAUUCGUGGUCUCGUGCAAUGGCUAUAUCGUUGAAAAUGAAAAACAAGUUGCCAUUCAUUGAUGGAUCAUUACCUAAACCUCAAAUUGAUGAUCCUAUGUUCAUAGCUUGGGAUAAGUAUAACACUUUAGUUCUCUCUUGGUUAAUACAGUCCACGGGUUCCACUGUCGUGCAAAGUGUAACAUGGAUGGAGACUUCUUUUGAAAUUUGGCAUGAUUUUCAUGAAAGAUACUACUAGGGAGAUGUCUAUCGUAUUUCAGAAUUGCUUACUGAAAUUCACACCUACAAUCAAGAUGACCUCUCGAUUGGAUCUUAUUUCACUCAUGUCAAAGGUUUGUGGCAAGAGUUUGAUAACUUUGGGCAUAUUCCUUUUUGCUCCUGUAUCAACAAAUGUGAGUGUGGUUAUACAUUUAAACCAUAUAGAGAAAAUGAUUAUGUUAUAUGCUUCCUCAAAAGUCUCAAUGAGCAAUAUGAGAGUGUUAGGUCACAUAUUAUGUUGAUGGAUCCUCUGCCUACAAUAAAUAAGGUGUAUUCUUUGCUAGUUCAGCAAGAGAGGCAUCUAAAUAUGCACAUAACUUAACCAAAAAUGUUGAUAAGCGCUUGAUCAUGGAAACACUUCUGAGAAUGGAAGUAAUUCCUAUAUGUCCAAUAAAUGAAGAGGUAGAGGAAGGAGUUACCAUGCUGGUAAGUUCCAAUAUGGACAGGGAAGAGGAAACAAUGUUUCAGGAAAAUAUCCUGGAGGCAGAAGUACAAAGAUUUGUACAUUUUGUAACAAGUCCGGUCACACAGUAUAUGAUUUGUAUAAGAAACAUGAAUUUCCUCCCAAUUAUCUGAGAAAUGUGAACAAUUUCACAAUUAAAGGUAGUCAAGAAGAGUAUGAGGUUACUAGCAAUAGAACCAAAGAUGAAUUUGCCAAUAAAGAGAAAGGUUCAAUGCUACAAUUCAUUCUUGAGCAACAUAGAACUUUGCUUUUUUUCAUCCAAAAAAAACAUCCUUGCAACAGAGUCAUGCUACCAAUUAGUUGAGCAUUAUUCCUGAUGAUUCUGACCUUAAACUUACAUCAAAUGCUCAAACUAGAGGUAAUGUUUAUUUGUUGUCAUGUUUAGCCAAGUCUAGUCAUUGGAUUUUAGAUAUGGGGGCUACUAAUCAUGUGUGUUACACUAUAUCAAACUUCCAUACUUUCAAACAGAUUAAACCUAUUCAUGUCACCUUGCCUAAUGAGAGUCAAAUGUCUGCUAAUAUUUCUAGCACUAUCAUGCUUUCUAGUAGUCUGUACCUCACUAAUGUCUCGUACAUUCCUUCUUUCCAUUAUAAUUUUGCAUCUGUUUCCAAGUUGACACAUAUCAUUCCAUGUAAACUAAUCUUUGAAAACAAUGUUUGUCAUGUCCAAGAGCUCUUCUAUUUGAUGAUGAUUGGCAUAGCUGAGCUCAAAUCUGGCCUUUAUGCAACGAUUGCCUAUGUCACUACAAAAGCCUUCUAGUUGUACCAUGUUUUUUAAUUCUUAUCAUAGCAGUGUAAAUUCCUUUACAAAAUACAAUUCUAAUGUUUGACAUAGUAGAUUGCGGCAUCUCUCACAUCAAAAACUACUUGUAAUGCAAAAUGAUUUUCCUUUUAUUCAAUGUAAUCAGACUUUUGAUCCAUGUCAUAUCUAUCACCUAACAAAAUAGAAAAGAUUACCCUAUAGUGAAAGUAUUUCUAAAUCUUUACAUAUGUUUGACUUAAUUCACAUGGAUAUUUGGGGUCCCAUCUCCACACCUAGUACCUCUAUUCAUAAGUAUUUCUUGACCAUUGUUGAGGACAAAUCUAAGUUAACUUGGUUAUACUUCUUAAGAGUCAAAUCAGAAGUGUCACAAUUGAUUAAGUCUUUUAUUUUUCUAGUUCAUACAUAGUUUGGUAUUAAGGUGAAGUAUGUUAGGACUGAUAAUGGGAAGGAGUUUAGUAUCCCUAACUUCUAUGCCUCACAUGGUAUUUUGCACCAAACUUCGUGUGUUGAAACACCCCAAAAAAUGGUGUAGUUGAGAGAAAACACCAACAUAUCCUAGGGGUAGCAAGGGCACUCAUAUUCCAAUCUAGCAUUAUGUUAAGUGUCAUUUUAUGAAUGAAAUGUAUAUGAUUUUGGGGCACUUAGUGUGUAGUCAUGAUGCAAAUUAUAUACAACUCCCAAGAACUUAGUUUAAUUUUGUCUUGUUUAGGAACUUACAUGUGUUUAUGUCAAUUGUAGAAUAAGAAGCAUGCAAAAAGUGGAGAAAAAGAAGAAGUUUGAGGUUUUGAACACUGCACUCGUCGCCUAAGACACAGCCUCUCCCAAGUAGGAAAAAUGUCCCUCGCCCAAGCAAUGGACUAUCACCCAAGAUACAAUUCAAGGAAACGAGGUCUAAACCAAUACCUGUCCCUCGCCCAAGUGAGGGACUGUCGCUCAAGGGAGAAUCUCUAGCUUAAGCAAGAGACUAGAAGUCUAGAACAUAUAUAGGCAGUUACGAAAAGAAAAAGGGGUUAACCAACCAUUUUCCAAGUUUUUUCACACAAUUUUUAGAGUGAGAAACACUAGGGAGGAGGAGAGAAGUUGUGGAAAUGACUUUAGAUCCAUUAUUUCUUGUAAUUUCUCAUGAGAAGAGUGUUGUAAUGGCAAGGAUGAGUGGCUAGUUCUUCAGUGUUGGGAUUGAAAAUGUAAUCUUCUAACUUGUGUACUCCUGCAUUCAAUUCUUUAAUGUAUUCAUUAUUUGAUUUUGGGAAUUAUAUCCCGCAUUUAAUGCUUGAAUUUAUUUUGCUACUCAAAUUCUUGAUCUUAGAUCCAAUUUUAACUAGGAAGUUGAACUUGGUAUCGAAUCUGGUUUAUCUUGCAUGGUACAUCAUAGCUCUAGGAAUGAACAAUGAUGUAUGAAUUGCUUUUACAUUAAACUUAAGGCUGGAUAAUUGGUUAAAUAUCUAAGGAAUUGAUAUUUGAGUAAUUAUCUAAGGAUUUUGUACUCAAGGAAUUGAUACAAAUGAUUCGAAGAAAAUGUGCAUCAAAAUUUGUAAUUUCACAAGUUAUGCGGAAUUGAAUCUAAGGAUUGCAAAGGGGAAAAAAGAUGAACUUCAAUCCCAACUCAUUUAAUUUCACAGUUUAACUUUUACAUUUUUACAACUUUAUUCAAAAACCAAACGAAUAUCAUAAUCUUAAAUCUGGUAAAUAUAUAUUCAAUCUAUUUCUUUAAGAAUUAGUAUAAAUCCACUCUACUCUUUGAGGACGAUAUCUCAGUAUUUACCAGAUUUUGUUAUUUGAACGAUACGGUUCCCUUGCCAUACCAAAAAUACCAACAAGUUUAUGGCGCCACUACUGGGGAGCAAUGUGUGAUUUGUAUUAGUUUUUGAAGAUAGUUCCUUGAGUAGUUGUAAUUAAUUUUUAUAUCUUGUAAGUAGUUUUAGUUUUUAUUACUCUUUGUGCUAACCCUUGUAGUCUUCUCAAUUAUGCUCUUGAGAGGAAAGGUUACUGAAGAAUAAUUGGAGUUUAAUCCAGAAAUUGAGAAGUCAACCAAGAGUAACCAAAUGAAGGCAAAUGAGAAGAGGAAGUAGGGUAAUCAGGAAACAUAGCGUAGCUCUGAACAAUCAACAAUUUGAGAACCCAAAUUAAAAAAAAAUGGAGAAUGCAAAUAAUGCCACUAGGAAUAAUGAGAGGCAUAAUACUCCAAGGAGGAUUUUAGGUGACUAUGUUAUGUACCAAGGUCUGUGACACUAUUCAAGCAUUGUCAUUCCACAUACCGAAACGACACUGGAGAUCAAGCCUGCAUAUCUGAAUUUGGUCAGUGCUCACUAGUUUACGAGGAAAGAUUAUGAAGAUCCGUAUGCUCAUCUAGACCAUUUUUAUGAGUUGGUGGCGACAAUGGGUUAUAAUGACAAUAAGAGGGAAGCUGCAUAUAUGAUGCUCUUUCCAUUUUUUCUCCUUGGUGAAGCUAGGGAAUGGCUUAAAUCUAACCCUACCCAAAGCUUAACCAAUUGGAGUGAUUUGGAAUCUAAGUUUCUAACAAUAUUCUUUCCACCAGCUAGAUAUGUGCAUGCCAAGUUUGAGAUCUCAACAUUCACACAAGUUAUAGAAUAUGCAUUCUAUGAGGCUUCAGAAUGUUUCUAGAUGUUGUUGAGGCAAUGUCCCAACCAUGGAUUCGAAGAUGUGGACUAGUUGAAUAUAUUUUGUAAUUGUUUGAAGCCUGAGACAAAGAUGAUACUAGUUGCCGUAACAGGUGGCACUAUGAUGGUUGUUGAUGUUGAGCAAGCCACCCAGAUUAUAACUACUUUAUCUUCAACAGAUAGGCAAGCUCAACAUAACAAAAGGACAUUACAGAAAAUCGGGGGUGUUAGGUUUGAACACUUCUGAUGCUAUUCUAGCUCAGAAUAAGAUUCAAACAUAAAAAAUUGAGGCACUCACUAAACAGAUGUCAAAGCUGCCUCAACAACUAAAUAUGGUACAAACUCCUCUAGUUCAUCAACAAGUGUUACGCUGUGAAUUUUGUGGGAGUGAUCAUGCAACUGGUCACUGUUUUAUGCCUAGCAAUAAUCAAGAGGAAAAGGUUCAAUAUGUGAAUAAUCAGCCUCGUCAUGGAAACUUCCCCAACAACUCUUCAUACAACAAUCAGUUCUCACAGGGUUGGAGGGGAAAUCAGAACCAGAAUUAUGGCUGGAGGCAGGAAGAAGCGCCAUCAAACAAACAUCCACCAUUUCAGCAACCAUUCCAACAUGGUCAACAUCCACAAAUGCAUGAAAGACUAACUAAUUGGAAGACACUCUAGAAAGGUUCAUGUUGUUAUGUCCCACGGGGCUCUGCCACUCACCUAGAGGGGGGGGGGGGGGAAUAGGGGAUACGGUACACAAUUACCAUCACUCGAUAAACACAUAAAUUAUACAAAUUAACACACUGUCUAAUUGAUUAAAGACAAACUUAAUCGACUAAAUCAUAUGUUGUUAAUCGAUUUUCUAUACCACUUAAUCGGUUAACUAGUUUAAUUACAGUGUAAACAUAAUUCUUUCGGUCAUCCAAGAUUACCAAGAUUCAAUUAAACUUACAUUUAAUUAUACAGACAAUUAAGAACAGUAAAUGCACUAUACAGAAUAUGCAAGUAUCAGAGAAUUAUAUGCAUGUCAAGUUAAGUAAAUCAAGUAAUGUGGAAAUGUAAAAAGAUAAGGGAAAGAAGAAGAAGACUCAGCUUUUUAUCCUAGUUCGUUUGUUGUUCACUACAAACUACAUUUAGGCCUCCCUUUCUGAUCUUGGGAGAUUUUAUCUUCACUAUGGAAUCUUCAAUGUUUCUUACAAACACAAUUCCAAUAUAAGAAUCAAGACGCUCCUUUCUUGGAUCUUAAACCCCCACUUUGGUUUGACUCUAAAGCUCGCCUACUAGGACACUCAUCGUUCGCGAUUCUAGCCCUAGCCUAAGUAUCGCUUACAACCAAGACCUAUUGCUUCUCGGGAAGACAUGUGCCGAACCAUAGCUAGGGUUUUCCCAAACCUAUUCCCUUUCUUUGGUGAUACAACACACCAACAAAAUGUGUUAUUGCCUAAGUCUAAUAAUAAUUUUUCAAGUUACAUAUGCACCUCAAUGUGUAGAUUAUACAAUCUUCUACAAAUCUAAGAACCCUUAAAUGAUAUCACAAAUACAGAAAUACAAUGUGUAAGAUGCAGGUUUCUUUUUCACAAAUUUGACAAUGAAAGAUCAACGGGUAUCUUUGUAAGAACAGGAUUGCAACUAAGAGGGGGGGCUGAAUUAGUUGACUUAAAGUUUUAGUAAAUUUUUCUGCAAAAUAUUAGACUUAAAGUGCAGCGGAUAAUAUUGCNNNNNNNNNNNNNNNNNNNNNNNNNNNNNNNNNNNNNNNNNNNNNNNNNNNNNNNNNNNNNNNNNNNNNNNNNNNNNNNNNNNNNNNNNNNNNNNNNNNNUUAAGUGCCUGGAAUAAAGUUUGACAGAAAAUACACUCUCCCAACUUUUCUCCCCCUUUUGACUUCAUCAAAAAGUAGAAAAGCCAAGAGUCCAACACAAAGAUAUAUAGCAUAUAUAGCAUACAUGAUGUAUAUCACAGUAUAUGAAAAUUAAUGUAGAGCAUAGAUAAGAUGUUUCAAUCAAGAUAAAGCAUAAAACACCAAAACAUAAACUUGUCCAGCAGCAAGAACAAACAACAAACAACAACCAAGUAAAAUUUUGUCCGAGAUUAAAAAGCAAAUACAACCAGAAAAAUCCUAACAAUAGGUAUACUAAGAUUCAGG
Molecule: long non-coding RNA, 20236 nt
Filed under: Lupinus angustifolius (narrow-leaved blue lupine)
Lineage: Eukaryota; Viridiplantae; Streptophyta; Magnoliopsida; Fabales; Fabaceae
Description: long non-coding RNA (LANG_LNC001267)
Source: RNAcentral